Syngnathus typhle (broad-nosed pipefish) is the source of this 2523-nucleotide long non-coding RNA. RefSeq lists it as uncharacterized. The record is from RefSeq and is a predicted model, not a curated record. Lineage: Eukaryota; Metazoa; Chordata; Actinopteri; Syngnathiformes; Syngnathidae. The transcript has 3 exons.
ACAUGCAGCCAGGACUUGCAAAGUUCCUCCAUCGCAUCUCGCUCAACUUUUUACAACAGACUUCGUGCGUGACAGCGUUCCAAUUUUUGACUCGUGGAUUUUUAAUCCCGCGAUAACCCAGUUUAUGAUUUAAUAGAUGUCCGAACGUCUCUCGGGAAUAAAUGAAAUUUCAAGUGCAGAUAUUGAUAACAGCGGAGAUCAGAUGUUUUAAAAGUAGAGAAAAAGGGAUGUUACACCUACUUGUGGCCAGUUUCCGUGCCCUGCCUUUGGAUCUCAUGGUGCCAGUCUCUCGGUGUGGGUUUGUUUGAAUUUUUUUCUCCGAUCCCCUUUUCUUCUUUUUUCCCGUUUUCCCCUCUCUACUGUGCGCUUUUUUUUUUCUCGAUCCCAGACACGCUAUCUCUCCAGCAUUGUCAAUCCGGACACCUUCGCACAUGCGCACAAGCCUCCGAGGUCUGCCGGCUGCACGUGCCAGACAAACUUUUUGUCCGAUUGAUCACUUUAGAGAUGACCUGACGUAUCGCGGAUGGGCUGUGUCACUUUUUUUUCUCCCUCACACAGCCACGGAGAUUUGCACGCUGUAAAAAAUGUCCCGUUGUUGCUCCUGUUUUAAGGUUUCAUGAACCAGACAGUGGGCAUCUCUACUAUAUUUUCUUCAGCGUAAUGAAUUGCGUUCUUUUGUGCAAAUCGGCAUUAUAAAUUAAGACAAUGUCUUCCUUUUUUUGUUGCACAGCUGCAGCCAACCGCUCUCUCGAGUGGGCUGACCCUUUCAAAAGUCACAUUAAUCACUCUCGUUAUUAAAGAUCGCAAUUUUGCAACAACACAGAGCGGGAGAGUUUUUGUGCUGGGAAUUAUAUUGUGACAAUCAUAAAUUCCACUUCGAGACGCUUCGGUUGAAAAUCUUGAAUCACUUAUCUGUGGGUAAUUAUGAAAGAUAGUUUCACCUGAGUUAACUCUGUAGAAUAAAAAAGACAUAUUUAUAUUUGUUAUUAAAACAAUUCAGGAGCGUGUUCCUGCAUGUCUGCAACAGCAAAGAGACUGUCCCCGGAAUGGCCACUGAUAUCCAACACUGUCAAACUCAGACUGCCGUCAAAGACUUCAAAGCAGUGAUGGCCUUUCGUGUGUACUUUGAGACAUCAUGCACAUGAUGCUACAAUUCUUUACAUAAGUGGUGCAGUGAGCUUUCAUUUCCCUCUGUUAUUUUUCUUUGUGCUCUGGAUUGAUAGCAAAUCACUCAAAGAAAUCUCGUAAUGCUCUACUGUGAUCUGGCGGGAACGGUACAAAAACUGAUUGGUCGAUGCAGCAAUUUGUGUCUGCAAGUCGACCCAGAUUUUUGUUUUGACCAAUCAUAAAAAAAAAAAAAGAAAAUCGGACGGAUAAUAUCGUCAUUGGUAUGCAACAGUUGCCCAGCUGGGAACAUCAUGGUGUUGUGUGUCAGUUGUCGCUUUUUGUAAUGUCACCAUGUGAAUGAAGGGUGUCUUGGGAAAAUAUUAGCUGAUGUUGUUGCAAUUGUCGCCAUACUCUGUUUUGUCAGUGGCACUAACUCUGAAGAUGAAAAAGGCCUUUGCAACUCAAAACACAACCAAUGACUUUGCACUUUGUGCAAAUGCAGUGAGAAAUCGGAACUAAUGUCUGCGACACGAUGUCUGAAAAAGUAGGGCACGCACUCAGCUUCUUUCGUCGUGCAUGAUUUUACAAAUAGAUUCUCACUAAAUUGUUUUGAAGUACUCGGUGGCUCAGGGACUCAUCUGUUCUUUGUUCCUGUGCCCACCAAACAGAUUUGUGGUUUUGUGUUUUAGCUUUUUUUUUUUUUUUUGUGGAUUCCUUUUGAUAUGGUUGCGCAAUGGAUCAAUGCACAUAAUCUAAUUUCUUGCUAGUUUAAUACUCGUGUCCGUUUGCAAAUAUAGUUAAUCCAGUGAAUGAUAUGCAAAAUUGCUGAGUGUCACGAAUGUGAAUAAAAUAGCCAUUAGUCUGGAAACUUGUGAAUCAAUCAUUUAAUGUGAUUUGUCAAUAUAUAAAUGAAUACUAUUGUAGCAAGCCUUUUUCCAUACAAAAAUAAAUUUCUACAAUUUAUGGCUGAUAAAUUAUCGCUAUACAUCAACGAUCUAUGAUAAAACGGCAAAAAUACUUUACAAGAAUAAAAAAAAAAAAAAAGUGAGUGAGGUACUUGCUGCAACAAUCUUGCAUUUACGGUGGAGUUUUUUGUUCCGAAGAAGUUGUUGAAUCCACCGACAAGGAAGCAGGGCUGUCUUCAUCCUCACUGUCUACCGCUCCUGGUUCUUCCUGAAGUUCAGACGUCGAUGUUGCUGCAGGUAUUAAAUAUUCAGGGAACACAUUAAAUAGAAAACAGAAAAGGUUCACUAUGACAGUAAAAGUACAUCAAAUAUUUUGAUUACACAAUAAAUGCACAUUGACAUUUUGACACAUUUCUUAUCCCAUCAAUUUGAUGUCAUCCUUUAGCCUUAAUUCCUUUUGUAUAUUCUCUUGGCAGAUUCAGUCACGAUUAAUUACAUAAUAAAUAUUGCU